RNAcentral lists this ribosomal RNA (463 nucleotides) under uncultured bacterium. Its description in RNAcentral is "partial 16S ribosomal RNA". It matches the Rfam family "Bacterial small subunit ribosomal RNA", at positions 28 to 507 of the family's 1533-position model. The record is from RNAcentral.
GAUGAACGCUGGCGGAAUGCUUAACACAUGCAAGUCGAUGGGGAAGUGGUGCUUGUUCCAUGGUAACCAUGGCGGACGGGUGAGUAACGCGUAAGGAACUUACCUGCGGGACCGGGAUAACAGCAGUAAACUGCUGACAAGACCGGAUAAGGAAAUUAAGCUGCAUAGCUUAGCGAUGAAAGGAGACGCCUGUGGAGAGACUUGCGUACUGUUAGCUAGUUGGAGGGGUAACGGCCCACCAAGGCGAAGAUAGGUAGCCGGCCUGAGAGGGUGGACGGCCACGAGGGGACUGAGAGGCGGCCCUUACUCCUACGGGAGGCAGCAGUGGGGAAUAUUGGAGAAUGGGGGCAACCCUGAUCCAGCAAUUCUGUGUGCACGAAGACGGUUUUCGGAUUGUAAAGUGCUUUCAGCAGGGAAGAAGGAAGUGACGGUACCUGCAGAAGAAGCGACGGCUAACUACGUG